UACGGAGGAUGCGAGCGUUAUCCGGAUUUAUUGGGUUUAAAGGGUGCGUAGGCGGAAUAUCAAGUCAGCGGUAAAAAUUCGGGGCUCAACCCCGUCGUGCCGUUGAAACUGAUGUUCUUGAGUGGGCGAGAAGUAUGCGGAAUGCGUGGUGUAGCGGUGAAAUGCAUAGAUAUCACGCAGAACUCCGAUUGCGAAGGCAGCAUACCGGCGCCCAACUGACGCUGAAGCACGAAAGCGCGGGUAUCGAACAGG
Molecule: ribosomal RNA, 252 nt
Filed under: uncultured bacterium
Lineage: Bacteria
Description: partial 16S ribosomal RNA
Rfam family: Bacterial small subunit ribosomal RNA
Source: RNAcentral